Long non-coding RNA from Planococcus citri (citrus mealybug), 777 nucleotides. RefSeq lists it as uncharacterized. Lineage: Eukaryota; Metazoa; Arthropoda; Insecta; Hemiptera; Pseudococcidae. The record is from RefSeq and is a predicted model, not a curated record. The transcript has 3 exons.
UUAAUUACUUGCGAGAAUUCGUCUCAAUAAUCAGUACCAUUAUGAUCGUCGGCACUUUUACCUACGGUGUUGCUCUACUCCUUAUUUCCAUUCUGAAUGAUAUGUCGUUGGUGCUGAAAACAAAAAAUAUAUCUGGUUACUUGCUCACCGGUACUUCAGUAUUUCAACUGUACUGGAUGGGACAAAAUCUGGAUGAUUCGAUAUCUGAUGUAUGCCUAGCACUCUACUGUACUCCUUGGUAUCGAUCGGUUAAAGUUCGAAAGACAAUAUGCAUUUUGAUCUCCCAAACGCAAUCGGUGAAAAAUAUUUCCAUCUUUGGAAUUUGGGGAUUGCUGUUGAAUAGUUUUGCGCGAUAUUUACACAACAUGAUAUCCAGCACGAAUCUACUACGUCGGCUUAUAAUGAAAUAAAUUAUCAGUUUUAAAUAUUACUUAUCAUUAUGCAUAGUUGAAAGUUCACGUUUACUUACUGAAUUCCUCAGCACUCGAGACAUUUUCAAAAGGAUGUUUUUAGACAGUUGUUCUGCACUGAUGAGAUGAUUUUUCUACUCUAUUGUCACAAAAUUUGAAUCAAACUGCGAUAGACAUGAAAAGAACUGGAAGUUUGCCUCCUUGAAAAACUUGAAAAAUUUUCAAGAGAUGUGGAACUUUUGUAGACGAGGAUAUAAAAAUUUGAUAUUUGAAGAAGAGGGCAUCUUUACAAGUAAGAAUAAAAUUUGAUCAAGGGACGUGAGAGGAGAUUGAAAAGUUUAGUGGAAAUGGAAUUACAUAAUGUUAU